AGUCGCCGCGGUAAAACGUAGGGGGCAAGCGUUGUCCGGAAUUAUUGGGCGUAAAGCGCGCGCAGGCGGUUCUUUAAGUCUGGUGUAUAAGUGCGGGGCUCAACCCCGUGGGGCACUGGAAACUGGGGAACUUGAGUGCAGAAGAGGAGAGCGGAAUUCCACGUGUAGCGGUGAAAUGCGUAGAGAUGUGGAGGAACACCAGUGGCGAAGGCGGCUCUCUGGACUGUAACUGACGCUGAGGCGCGAAAGCGUGGGGAGCAAACAGGAUUAGAUACCCGCGUAGUCCCUGUCUCUUAUACAC
RNAcentral lists this ribosomal RNA (301 nucleotides) under uncultured bacterium. RNAcentral describes it as "partial 16S ribosomal RNA". It matches the Rfam family "Bacterial small subunit ribosomal RNA", at positions 510 to 809 of the family's 1533-position model. The record is from RNAcentral.